AUAACAUUCCAGAUGAGUUGUCAUUCCAGAUCUAGAGCAGAGCCCAACUGGGGAAGUACCUCCACCUUACAGAAAACCGCAGCCAAAUAACACUAGACCCUACUCAUAGUGUUGUGUUCCUGCUGGUGAGUAAGGUUGCCAGAGCUCAACGAGGGGGGGCGGGUUUAGGUUCGGCAACGCACAUGUAACUCCUCUGGAGUUGCAGGCGUACAUAGGCUACGGGGACUACUUACCAUCAGGCGGGCCGUAUGCUUGUUUGUCACCGACGUAGUAUAAAAAAAAAUAGAGAUGUGGAAUUACAAAACGACAUUUUAUCUUGCAUUUUAUCCGCGUUCCUCAUUAAAGAGGGGAAGUAUUACAUCGGCUUCCUAUAUUUAGUUUCAGCUUUUUAAGUUUAUAAAUAACACGGUAUUUGUUCGACCUAAUAAGCUUAAUAAGGCCUGUAUGGUGGGAUGACUGUAAUUAUGAUAUAUAAUAAAAAAUAAUUCAGCCUAUAUACGUCCUACUGCUGGGCACAGGCCUCCUCUCAUGCGCGAGAGGGUUUGAGCUAUAGUCCCCAUGCUAGCCCAAUGCGACCGAAAAGCUAGUGGUAAAUAUCAAAUGAUAUUUCGUACAUAAAGUUCCGAGUUCCGAAGAACUCAUUGGUACGAGCCAGGAUUUGAACCUUCGACCUCUGGAUUGAAAAUUGGACGUCAUAUCCACUCAGCCACCAUAGCUUCUGAUAUAUAGGUAUAUAUAAGUACUUAUAUACACAGAAAAUAUAUAUAACUAAGGAGCAAUACUUGUCAUAGAAACACAAAUAAUGCCCUUACCAAAAUUCGAACUCGUGAUAUCCUGAUUGGUAGGCAGGUUCACUACCGACUAUAGGAGAUGCAAACCAAACUGACGCCCGGGGUCAUAUUACUAUCUCUCUCACUCUACCUAUAACCACGCGAGUGUGAAUGAGAAGUUUUAAGACCCCGGUCGUCAGAUUGGUUUGCGGCUACAGGCUAGGAAGUCGACAUAAGUUAAAAUAGGUACAGUCACGUCUGAAAAUAUCUAUACGGACAAAGUGCCUAAAAUAUGUAUCACGACCUUAUUUCCCAUAUAUUAUUGUUGGCACUUUGUCCGUGUAGAUAUUUUCAGACGUGACUACAUACAAAUAUAAAUGUUUUUUAUACUACGCCGGGGGCAAACAAGCAUACGGCCCGUCUGAUGGUAAGCAGUCUCCGUAGCCUAUUUAUUCCUGCAACUCCAGAAACAUUCAUUUGUUUAUAAUUGGUUUAUUUUCAAUUCAGGAGAUAAUAAUAUAACAUGAAGUUCCGGCUGGGAGGCUUAUUCUAAUUGUACCUAAUAACUGGUUCCGAAUUUGACCUGGAUGUGUCAUGGAAGUUAUGGAUAUGAUCUGUCAGCCAUAAGCAGUGACAUUUCUUAUGGAAAAACCUCCGAUUUGCCACCAAUAUAGUUAUAUCCAGAAAAAUGCUCAACGGCCUAAAAUCUCUUAACAAGUGGGUGUUUAACAUCCACGUACCCAAAGCUCGCUUAAAGUGCCUCCAAUGUGUCACGGCAACAGCUUACAAAGGCCUUUGUACGUCACAGGACAUUACGGUACCAGUUUCUUUGUUAUUAAACUAUAGGGAUAAAUGUCACCAGCACCCGUGGCCCGUCGAGGGAUACAAGGGUUGAAAAGUGGUAUGUUUUAUUACUUUGAUGUUUUAAGGAAAGUGUUAUAUCAUUUAUAUAAUAAGCCAUAAUGUGACAUGCUUAAUCCUCCUGUAACUUCAGUUAUAAUUUAAGUUUUGGUUUUGAAUUUGUUUUAUUUAACCUAUGUCUAUUAUUGUUACUUAGUAAACCAGUUAGGAAGAGCGGUGUCACUUGAGAGAGUUGAACGUUUGUGUGUCGUUCAAGUUUUAUUUUAAGCUACGGACUUGAAACUUCAUGAAAAGGUAUUAUAUUAAAAUAGAAGAAAAGUACAUUCAGUGUUUUUGGAAAUUCAUCUCGUAACGGGGUUAAAUAGAGGAUGAAAGUUUGUAGGUAUGGGGAUGAAGUUUUAUUUUGAGUUAAUACAUUUAUUUGCAUAAUUUUUUUUUUUUUUGCAUAUUUUUUUAGAAAAUAAAUAAAUAUUAUAGGGACAUUCUUACACAAAAGAAGGCUUAUUUGCAAAUCCCACGUAUUAACGCUUGCAGCUUCAGUGUUGCCACCCUUCCCACUAUACCCUCCUUUUAUAAAGGGCCUCAUACAAAAACCAUGCACUGAACAAUCUGAACAUGCAUCUAAUGCGGGCAGUACUUUAUUUUCCUCAUACGUAACACUGAGCUGAACACAUUACGCGCCAGCGCGCGACAAAGGCUCUUUUUUAUAAAACGGCGCCCAUUGUAUUUUCCUACGCGUCUGCGGUUAUAAUAAAAAUCCUGCUCGUAUUAUUAAUGAACGAGAACACUUUGAUAGCCUCCGGUACACAUCUGAGUGUAGUAAAUAAAUAUUUUGUAGGAGUUUCUCUCAAAGCUGAAUAUGCCAAUACAUUGAGAAUAAAAUGUUAUCAUUGGGCCAAUACAUCUUGUCAUACAUCCGUACAUUUCUCGGACCAGCUUUACAUAUAUAUUUAUCACAAUUAAUUAAUCAUUUCGUCGCACUCUGGUAGAUAAUAGUCCUCCUCAUCGUUUUCGAUGACGGCGACCCUAAAUAAACAUUAUGGACGUUGUCUAGUAUGAGCCCUAAUGUGGCUGGCCAGGCCGAACUUGCUCUUAAAUAGUCUCCAUUAUAAGACAAAACUUCGUGUUAAUUCGUACCGGUGGCCAGGGAUCGGAAACCGGUAUUUUUUGUAUGGGAACGAAAACGGUAUUUUUUCGUUCUUUGUUAAUUACUUCAUUUCUAAUUAGGCAAUCUAAUAAUACGAAGUCGUUAUCUGAAAACACAACUGAGUCCUACAUUUACAGUAUAAAAUAAACCGAAAUAUAUGGUUAUUUCGAUGUUUUUGCAAAAAACCGGUUCCGAUCCCUGCCGGUGGCGCUACGAGCACGCUCUUUGAAAAAUUUAAAGUGGCUAAAAGAAAAAAAAAAGUCUUUAGCUGAAACGUCUGCAAAUGAUGCCAUCUAACAAUAGUAACGAUUAAUUUACUAUAAAUAAUAGCCCACAACGACCUCCUUUACAACUUUCGUUUUGCUUGUAAAACCUCACAAACAAUACUGUUCAACAAAUUAGCGAGUUAGUAACUAGGACCGGCCGGCCCAUGUCAUUCAAAUGGGAAUAAUUGAAACAUUCAACAGCCUCCGGGCAAUAUUUGAAAAUUAAGAAUUGAAUCGAAAUUAUUGGAACUGGGAGGCCAAUUCAAACUUACAUUUGGCAUUAAAUAAUGUCAUUUUGUUUUCAUUCAUCAUGCGUCUCGCUCGCGCAAAUACAUGUACGGACAAGUCCAAGCGAAAUGAACGCGCACAAGGAUCGGAACCGGUUUAUAAAAUACCGGUAAAUGCCGGGUUACUACGGUUUUCCUCCGAAUUUUUAUAAGAAUGCGAACGUUUUAAGAAGUUUAUUGCAACCUAAAACCGGUUUAUUCAACGAGCGGCGAAACGGCCGGCCGGCCUGAUGGUGUGCCAUCUAAACAUAGACACCGACGUAGGAAGAAACCGGUUUUUAUUGUUAUAAACCGGUUAAUUUGAAAAGAACUGUUCUCAUAAAACCGGUUUAAAAAAAACGGUUUUUCGAGCAAAACCGAAAUUAAAAGGUUUUGCAGUUUGGAAAUUUAACCGGUUUCCGAGCCUUGAAAGCGCAAAUGAUAUCUGAAUGACAUCACUUAGAUAUCUGAAUGACAUCACUUAGAUAUCGUUUGUUUUGAUGUCAAGUGUACGCUCGAAUUACAUAUUAGCAUCGCUCAAUUCGGACGGUAAAUAAAUAAUUCGCAGGCUACUUUAUCUCGUAAUAAAUACGAUACCCCACAUUCAAUCGUCUUUAAAAUUUUAUUUGCUGAAAAUAAAGUUAGUUUACUUCCUUUGUGUUCGAAAUGAAAAGUAGAGUGUUUAACUCGGGUGAAAAGCACUAUUUCAGUCUCGGACUAUUGGCGCUCUUUUUGCGUUCGAGCGCCAAACUACCUCGUCAGAAAUGGGUGCCUUUGAUCCCUUAAUUAACAAUCUACUAUUAAAUGAACGCGAUUUUGAAAAUAAAAUAAAUAAUCCAAAUAAAUUAAUCAAAACAAAUUAUUGCAUGACAUGUAAUUAUGAUUUGGAAAAUAAAGUCUUUUUUUUAUAAUGCGACGUCAGGUGACAUCCGAACGUCACCUUAAUCGUGUGGGCUUCGUUUCAUACGUCUGCCAAUAUUUGUUUUGUAUUACGCCCGAGCGUCACCCUUUAUUUACGCCCCAAGGCUUGUUCACGAUAAAAAGUAGCCACGGGUGGAUAAUCUUACAUAUAUGAAAAUUUUGGGCAGUAUAAAAGUCACUAUUCGUAUGAAUUUCAUUUUCGUUACUUCAUAAGCUUCGCAGUCUACAUAUAUCAGAUGUUUUAUAGCCUAGGUACUUUUAAACAAUUUAAACCCUUUAACGUAACAUUACCCAAGCUGCCCAGGACCGAAGUCAGUGGAAGAAAAUGGCUCGAGCCCUACACCCCAGCAGGGGGUAACAAGAUGGAAAGAAGAACAAUGACGAAAGUAACUCUGACAAGAUAUUACAUUUCUGGCCAUUAAGACAAUUUCUAACAAGUCGUCGCACCGGAGGCACCUGGGCACUUAAAAUGUCACCGAAUAAACUUUAUCCCGCCAUCUUGUGACAGUAGAAAUGCUUUUUUACUUAUUUUCAAAUUAAAUGUCAACGGAAUUUUAAA
Molecule: long non-coding RNA, 4790 nt
Organism: Cydia pomonella (codling moth)
Lineage: Eukaryota; Metazoa; Arthropoda; Insecta; Lepidoptera; Tortricidae
Exons: 2
Source: RefSeq, a predicted model, not a curated record